GCAAGUCAGGGGUAGGGUUACUUCGGUAUCUGAGACCCGCGCACGGGUGCGUAACGCGUAUGCAAUCUACCUUUUACUAUGGGAUAGCCCAGAGAAAUUUGGAUUAAUACCAUAUAGUAUAUUUGAAUGGCAUCGUUUGAAUAUUAAAGAUUUAUCGGUAAAAGAUGAGCAUGCGUCCCAUUAGUUAGUUGGUGUGGCAACGGCAUACCAAGACGAUGAUGGGUAGGGGUCCUGAGAGGGAGAUCCCCCACACUGGUACUGAGACACGGACCAGACUCCUACGGGAGGCAGCAGUGAGGAAUAUUGGUCAAUGGAGGCAACUCUGAACCAGCCAUGCCGCGUGCAGGAUGACGGUCCUAUGGAUUGUAAACUGCUUUUGUACGGGAAGAAAACAAACUACGAGUAGUUAAUUGACGGUACCGUAAGAAUAAGGAUCGGCUAACUCCGUGCCAGCAGCCGCGGUAAUACGGAGGAUCCAAGCGUUAUCCGGAAUCAUUGGGUUUAAAGGGUCCGUAGGCGGCCUUAUAGUCAGUGGUGAAGUUUUUGGCUUAACCAAAAAAUUGCCAUUGAUACUGUAGGGCUUGAAUAUCUGUGAAGUAACUAGAAUAUGUAGUGUAGCGGUGAAAUGCUUAGAUAUUACAUGGAAUACCGAUUGCGAAGGCAGGUUACUAACAGAUGAUUGACGCUGAUGGACGAAAGCGUGGGUAGCGAACAGGAUUAGAUACCCUGGUAGUCCACGCCGUAAACGAUGGAUACUAGCUGUUUGGUUUUCGGACUGAGUGGCUAAGCGAAAGUGAUAAGUAUCCCACCUGGGGAGUACGGUCGCAAGACUGAAACUCAAAGGAAUUGACGGGGGCCCGCACAAGCGGUGGAGCAUGUGGUUUAAUUCGAUGAUACGCGAGGAACCUUACCAGGGCUUAAAUGUAGAUUGACAGAUUUGGNAAACAGAUUUUUCUUCGGACAAUUUACAAGGUGCUGCAUGGUUGUCGUCAGCUCGUGCCGUGAGGUGUCAGGUUAAGUCCUAUAACGAGCGCACCCCUGUUGUUAGUUGCCAGCACGUAAUGGUGGGAACUCUAGCAAGACUGCCAGUGUAAACUGUGANGAAGGGGGGGAUGACGUCAAUCAUCACGGCCUUACGUCCUGGGCCACCCCGUGCUACAUGGCCGGUACAAGAGCAGCCCCUUGGCGACAAGAGCGAUCUU
RNAcentral lists this ribosomal RNA (1202 nucleotides) under uncultured Flavobacterium sp. RNAcentral's name for it is "bacterial SSU rRNA". It matches the Rfam family "Bacterial small subunit ribosomal RNA", at positions 57 to 1275 of the family's 1533-position model. The record is from RNAcentral. Lineage: Bacteria; Pseudomonadati; Bacteroidota; Flavobacteriia; Flavobacteriales; Flavobacteriaceae.